Molecule: ribosomal RNA, 678 nt
Filed under: uncultured Polynucleobacter sp.
Lineage: Bacteria; Pseudomonadati; Pseudomonadota; Betaproteobacteria; Burkholderiales; Burkholderiaceae
Description: bacterial SSU rRNA
Rfam family: Bacterial small subunit ribosomal RNA
Source: RNAcentral
CGCGUGAAGUCAGCCGCCUGGGGAGUACGGUCGCAAGAUUAAAACUCAAAGGAAUUGACGGGGACCCCGCACAAGCGGUGGAUGAUGUGGAUUAAUUCGAUGCAACGCGGAAAAACCUUACCUACCCUUGACAUGCCACUAACGAAGUAGAGGUACAUUAGGUGCCCGUAAGGGAAAGUGGACACAGGUGCUGCAUGGCUGUCGUCAGCUCGUGUCGUGAGAUGUUGGGUUAAGUCCCGCAACGAGCGCAACCCUUGUCUUUAGUUGCUACGCAAGAGCACUCUAAAGAGACUGCCGGUGACAAACCGGAGGAAGGUGGGGAUGACGUCAAGUCCUCAUGGCCCUUAUGGGUAGGGCUUCACACGUCAUACAAUGGUGCAUACAGGGGGUUGCCAACCCGCGAGGGGGAGCUAAUCUCAGAAAAUGCAUCGUAGUCCGGAUCGUAGUCUGCAACUCGACUACGUGAAGCUGGAAUCGCUAGUAAUCGCGGAUCAGAAUGUCGCGGUGAAUACGUUCCCGGGUCUUGUACACACCGCCCGUCACACCAUGGGAGUGGGUUUUGCCAGAAGCCGUUAGCCUAACCGCAAGGAGGGCGACGACCACGGCAGGGUUCAUGACUGGGGUGAAGUCGUAACAAGGUAGCCGUAUCGGAAGGUGCGGCUGGAUCACCUCCUUUCU